Centrocercus urophasianus (Greater sage-grouse) is the source of this 3213-nucleotide long non-coding RNA. RefSeq lists it as uncharacterized. NCBI's taxonomy places the organism in Eukaryota, Metazoa, Chordata, Aves, Galliformes, Phasianidae. The record is from RefSeq and is a predicted model, not a curated record. The transcript has 5 exons.
CAUGCAUGCCACCAACCUGAGCGUGAUAGAAGUGCAUGUGCUGGGUAAAACUGCAGUGCUUGUCAACUAGAAAGCAGAAUCUUCUUUUUUCUUCAAGUAGAGCUUCUCUACAGCCUUCUGCAAUGAAUCUCUGAAUGUCAGUCUGUCGAGAGCUCACGGUUUCCAAAUACUAAGGGAAAAAGGUAAAUAAUUCACAUACAGUCUGUGAGUUUUAUUUGAUACUCUCUCCAGUUACUGAAGCGUGUUCCAAAAAGACAAGAAAAAGAAAAAAAGUUAUCAGAAAGGUGGGGUGGAGUGGCUCUGCUUCCAAGUCAUUCUCUUUUUAUGCACACAUCUGACUUCUCCAAUCUCAUCAGACACACAUGUAUUCUAUUACAGGCAAUCAGUAUUGGGGUGUGAAGCACCAGAGGAGAUUCAGAAGUCGGGAGGAAUUCUGUCAUGGUGGCUGGGCCUCCCUGGACCAUCUGCACAGCCAUCAAGACCCAUCCCUCCAUGGUGUACGUUGGGGUUCUGGUAACCCUGUGCCUGGGGCAUCUCCAUUAUGAAGAAAGGAUGGCAGACCUGGGGCAGUUCAGCCUGGAGAAGAGAGGACUGAAGGAUGUACCUGGGGGAGGAGAUGGUGAAGAAAAACUGAUUGCUUAGCAUCAGCUGAAUGGCUGCAUGCCUGCCCAGCCUCACCAGCAGUGAUGGCAUUGUGUUUGGGGGGUUGCAAUGACACGCACUGUUUGGAUGUGCUGUAUGAAAACCCAGAGCCAUCGCACACAGGUGGGCAUUGAGGGCAGCAGUACAGACACGUGUGCCCGUCUCAGGCUGCAGAAGGCCAUGCAGCACGAGGCACAGCGAGAACCUGAACAGCUGAUCUAUCAGUGAACACACGGAGCUUCCAAUGGCUCUGCGACAGACGGUGGGGCAACGUAUGAACUACAGAGAAGCUCAUGCUUAAGAAUGAAAGACUGAAGAGUUCCAGAGAGCUUUCCACCGCGUGUGAAAUACACAGACACGGCACAGAAGUUUUGAAUAUCUGGAAUAUCCAGAUUUCCAUUUCCUUCUCGCCUCCUUCUUCUGCACCAAUCUCACUCUACGGAAGAAAGCACUUGUUGUUACUGCUGGUAACAGGGAGACCAUGUUCUGUGUUUCCUUAUGAGAAGGAAGGACUGGUGGUGGUUUCGAUACGCAUCUUUACGUAGCGCUGGCAGUAAGCCUACUGUAGGUCACCCAGCAGGUUUGGGUUUGAACUUUAGAAUGUCUGGAAAUGACCUUCCAGCAAGCACUAUUCAUAAAUUACAAAGAUUACUGUAUUUUAGCCAUCUUAGGCACAUAGGCUUUCAUAAGUAAGUGUAAGAACUUUAAUGCAACACAACUCAAUUUAGAAUAAUACAUUAUUUUUCAUCUGACACCACUAAAGGUGACAUUGCUACAGGAAAGAGCUGAAACACUGAUUCUUGCCUUAUUGCCCUGUUCAGUCUUCUGAAGACUGAUUUUAAUAAGAAGUGUAUCUGCAAAAAACACAGGUUGCUAUGCUAGCUGUCAGGGAAAGGGGAAAAGGGACAAGUCUUCUAAUAGCUCCUUUUACAGCUGAAGAGUAGCUGCUGGCUGAUGGGUGGAACACAGGGUCAAUGGAAGAAGCAUCCAUAUUAAAAACCAAAGAAAAAGCAGAUCAGCAAAUUAUUCGUGACACAUUUCUGCUGUAGGUGACAGGUAAGAAAACAGCACUGUGGAUUUCUGAUGACUGUAAAGCCUUGCCUUCCCAUCCCCAAGCCAGGCAUCCCAAUUGUGGUCAAAACAGGUAAGUCAUAAGUUUGUUUGUUUGCUUUCACACAGAUUAGCUUCAGGUGUUAGUUUCUGUACUUUGGAUGUUUCAAUUUUUAUUACACAAAUUAAAACACUUAAAUGUGCUGGCUGUCCAAAGCCCUCAGUACUGGAAAUCCAGACAAUGGUACCUCAGCUUGUACUCAAGUAUGAAAGUAUUCCACUUAAGAAAAUGUAAAUGAUCUCUCACUGAUGCCUCCCACAUUAUCCCACCUUUAUCUCAACAUGAAGUAUUCUAUCAGAGAGCCUGCAGGAAGAAAUCUAGACUUGCUGUCUGGAUUUUUCUCGCAGUAACAGUUUAAAUAGGUGAUGAAAAUGCAGUCUUAGAGGCCUGAUCCUGGAGAAGGCAUGACUUUCUCAACACAAAAUACUUAGGAAGAACUAUAGCUGUAUGGAGAACAUAAUUAAACCCCCCAACAUGUAUUUUCAAGCACAAUUUUGCGUCGCCCCAUAGUACGAAAGAUACAGAUUUAAUCUCUGCUCACUGGUGCUUUCAAACACGCAGACAGCAUCUCACAGUCAAACAGAUCUCAACAGACAUUACCUGCAUGGAUGUUACCAACUUACAGAAAUUGUAAUUAUGCUUUUCCUGAUGUUUUUAUUAGGUUGACUGGUUAAUACUUAUAACUUGCUCUUGAUUUUGUUCUACCGCUUGAAAUCAGCAACUCUGUUUCCUGUAAACAGCUUGCAAAGCAAACACAGAAAGCUACAUGAGGCUGUUUGCUUUUGCACUGGGAGCGGCAGAACAGCAAACAACGCUGAACACAGAAUGUUAACAGUCUCCCAGAAGUGGUUUCAGAACAAAUGGUAAAAAUGUACGCAGGCACAGAGAGCUGCGGUCACCUCUCAAAGAGAGGCCAUCCCUCACAUCACCUGCAGAAACACUGAGAAGAAAAUUGCUAAAAACAAUCCUUUAAAGUUAAGAGUAAUGGAAGCGGCCAGUGUCACACCAUUGAAAAUGUCCUACAUUACCCUUAACUGAAAGUGCAGACUGCUCGUAAUAAAAGGACAAUUUAUCCAGUUAUUUUUGUCAAAAAGCAAAUGAAGCCUUUAAGCAACGUUUUCUCUUUGUAGUUCAGUUUGUACUUAUAUUUUUGUCAGAAGUAUUACUCAUACUUUGGUGACAGUUUUACUUUUGUAGACUGAGCAAUAUCAUUUCAAUGCUAGCUAAAGGAGUACAAAACAAAGUGCUAAAUUUUUCAGAAAUUCAGAAUAUAUUCUCAGGAAAGUAUGGAACUUUUAGUACAUUCUUGUUCAUAGCAGAAAUGCUGAGUCGUGGCCUGAAGCAGUGAUGGAGCACCUGGUGGGAAGGCAGGGCAGCCCAGGGAGCUCAGGUGCAUGCAAUGCAAUGCAAUGCAAUGCACUGAAUGAUGGAAGGGUGGAACCAGGAUCCACCCCUUCCCC